RNAcentral lists this ribosomal RNA (840 nucleotides) under Triticum aestivum (bread wheat). RNAcentral's name for it is "partial small subunit ribosomal RNA". The record is from RNAcentral. Lineage: Eukaryota; Viridiplantae; Streptophyta; Magnoliopsida; Poales; Poaceae.
AUGGCCUCUGCCGCGCUCACCGGGCCGCUGCAGCAGCUGCUAUCCACCGCCACCACCGCCUCGCCUUGGUUGCAGUGGCAGCCACCGCUCCGCCCUGGCUGCAGUGGCAGCCACCGCUCCUGGCGACCUCCGCCGCAGCAGCCGCUGCAACUGCAGCAACCAUCGCAGGUCAGCUCCGGCCCCGCAUCGACCGCGCCGAUGGGAGUCCCGAUCCACCAGAUCAAGUUCCCGCCGUCACCAUCACCGCUUCCCCAGGGCGUCCCCAUCCAGCAGAUCAAGUUCCCGCCGUCGCCGUCACCGCUUGCAGCUUGGAUCACUACCCGCCAUGUGUCGGCGGCGGUGAGGCUGCAGGCUACUGCAUGCGGCCUCCUAGCGCGUCGGCGUGUGCGGGAGUUGCGUGGUCUACAGCUGCCGCUCCUCCCAGUUGCGCUUCGCUGCGCAAAGGACCUCGAUCUCGUCCACCGCGUCGGGGAUCUUGGGCAUGCUAUUUUCCCCACGGACAGCGCCCUCAAAGUCUGCGACAUCGGCGGUUCGGGAGGCGCACCCCUCCUCGCCAUUCUCCAUCGACAGCCCUCCACUCUUCUAUGUGCGGUGCCGACCAACAGUCAUCCGGCAGGGAGAAGGCAUGGUGUCACCGACAGGAGCGCACCGCGUAGCACCACUACAUUCCGCCACCGGCCGCCGCGAGGGCGCCUCUGCUGGUCGCUCUUGCGACCACUUCCAGGUGGCCAUAAACAUGCACUCCUUUGUCCAGAUGGUGUCCAUGGGAUCCAGGUGGCUGUACACGUGCACGUUCGACGUGCGGAUGGUAUCCACUUUUUGUUAAGAGGUCCAAAAUAA